ACAAAACUUUUAACAACGGAUCUCUUGGCUCUCGCAUCGAAUGAAGAACGCAGCAAAAUGCGAUACUUGGUGUGAAUUGCAGAAUCCCGUGAACCAUCGAGUCUUUGAACGCAAGUUGCGCCCUAAGCCAUUAGGCCGAGGGCACGUCUGCCUGGGUGUCACGC
This 164-nucleotide ribosomal RNA is filed under the name Toxicodendron vernicifluum (Chinese lacquer tree). RNAcentral describes it as "5.8S ribosomal RNA". It matches the Rfam family "5.8S ribosomal RNA". Rfam says of the family: 5.8S ribosomal RNA (5.8S rRNA) is a component of the large subunit of the eukaryotic ribosome. It is transcribed by RNA polymerase I as part of the 45S precursor that also contains 18S and 28S rRNA. The record is from RNAcentral. Lineage: Eukaryota; Viridiplantae; Streptophyta; Magnoliopsida; Sapindales; Anacardiaceae.